RNAcentral lists this ribosomal RNA (592 nucleotides) under uncultured bacterium. RNAcentral's name for it is "bacterial SSU rRNA". It matches the Rfam family "Bacterial small subunit ribosomal RNA", at positions 8 to 579 of the family's 1533-position model. The record is from RNAcentral.
AGAGUUUGAUCCUGGCUCAGAAUCAACGCUGGCGGCGUGCCUAACACAUGCAAGUCGAACGCGAAAGUCCCGCAAGGGAUCAGUAGAGUGGCAAACGGGUGAGUAACGCGUGGGCGACCUACCUCUGAGUGGGGGAUAACCUUCCGAAAGGAGGGCUAAUACCGCAUGACAUCCCAUGUUUGGAUACAUGGACAUCAAAGCCGGGGAUCGCAAGACCUGGCGCUUGGAGAGGGGCCCGCGUCCGAUUAGCUAGUUGGUGAGGUAAUGGCUCACCAAGGCUCCGAUCGGUAUCCGGCCUGAGAGGGCGGACGGACACACUGGGACUGAGACACGGCCCAGACUCCUACGGGAGGCAGCAGUGGGGAAUUGUUCGCAAUGGGCGCAAGCCUGACGACGCAACGCCGCGUGGAGGAUGAAGACCUUCGGGUCGUAAACUCCUUUCGACCGAGAUGAAUUUCUGCCGGCCUAACAUGCCGGCGGGGUGACAGUAUCGAGGGAAGCAGCCCCGGCUAACUCCGUGCCAGCAGCCGCGGUAAUACGGGGGGGGCAAGCGUUGUUCGGAAUUACUGGGCGUAAAGGGUUCGUAGGUGGC